UCUCAGCACAGUGGUGCAUGCCUGUAGUCCCAGCUACUCAGGAGGCUGAGGUGGGAGGAUCGCUUGAGUUCAGGAGUUCUGGGCUAUAGUGCACUAUGCCCAUCAGGUGUCCACACUAAGUUCAGCACCAAUAUGGAGACCUCCCUGGAGCAGGGACCACCAGGUUGCCUAAGGAAGGGUGAACCAGCCCAGGCUGGAAAUGGAGGAGGUCAAAACUCUCGUGCUCAUCAGUAGUGGAAUAGUGCCUGUGAAUAGCCAUCGUACUCCAGCCUGGGCAACAUAGUGAGACCCCGUCUCCU
This is an unclassified non-coding RNA of Callithrix jacchus (white-tufted-ear marmoset), 299 nucleotides long. It matches the Rfam family "Metazoan signal recognition particle RNA". Rfam says of the family: The signal recognition particle (SRP) is a universally conserved ribonucleoprotein. It is involved in the co-translational targeting of proteins to membranes. The eukaryotic SRP consists of a 300-nucleotide 7S RNA and six proteins: SRPs 72, 68, 54, 19, 14, and 9. The record is from Ensembl. NCBI's taxonomy places the organism in Eukaryota, Metazoa, Chordata, Mammalia, Primates, Cebidae.